Malurus melanocephalus (red-backed fairy wren) is the source of this 1301-nucleotide long non-coding RNA. RefSeq lists it as uncharacterized. The transcript is spliced from 3 exons. Lineage: Eukaryota; Metazoa; Chordata; Aves; Passeriformes; Maluridae. The record is from RefSeq and is a predicted model, not a curated record.
GACUGAGGCUGAGUCUCCAAAAGUACAACAGGCAGACUCAGCUGGCACAGCUGCUGCCAGCCACCUGGGCUCUGGACUUGUUUUUAUAUCACUAUUAUAAAAUGCUAUUUUAACGUGGUUCCCARCCAGUGAGACUUCCAGCCCGGUGCUGAGCCCUCCAGAGCACCCAGGCAGUGCUGGUUUCAUUCAGAAAACCAUGCUGCUGAGGGUAAUCGAGUCAGAGCAAACAGCCUGGAAGGACGUUGGGGUGCAGAGCCUUUUCUGCAUGACCUCCUGGAGCCUGAAUUUAUGUSACCUACMGAAAGGCAUCGUUCGCAGAGCAGCRACCCAGGCRUGCUGACCCUCCUGCAGGGACCAAGAGAAGAAACAUAUAAGUACUGAAGUGUGUGCAAUAAAUAUGAAUCCUGCAAGAAGAGAGCAGAGGAUCAUAUUUGGCUUUUUCCCAAGCUGCUGCCCAUCCUGGGACACGAUCACUGGAUCUCUGUCAGCAGGAGCCACUUUCAAACUGAGCUGUGCAUGGAGGAGAUCCCUGACCUUCAGUCUCUGCUUGCUGGACAGAAGAAACAUCUAAAUACUGAAGUGUGUGUGGUAAAGAUGAAUCCUGCAAGAAGAGAGCAAGAAGUUCAUGUUUGUUUUUUCCCAAGCUGCUGCACUCACCACAGAUGUUUGCAGAGGACCUGCGUGUGUUCUGUUCUCCGUCUGCCACUUCCACUAGUCCUUAGAUGAAAAAUUAACAGACACACAGAUGUAUCUGGGCUUCAGGGACACGUUUGGGGCUCCCUCAUCUGCAUCCCCUGGGAGAGCAUGGGAGGGGACACUUCUGUGCAGACAGGAAAGCAGGAAUGGGUUUGUAACAGCGUCCCACUGGAGCACAGGCAGAAAAUGCACAGCCCUCACACAAGGAACACGAGUGGACUUGUCCUGUUCCCCUCAGGCUUAUCAGGAUGAAACCCCAUARCAGAACAUAUAAAUUAAAAAUUCCUUCAGUUGCUGCUCCUAGAYAUAGUCUCUGCAGUCUGUCCUAACUCCUGAGCCAUUUAUGCAGGUUCCCAACUGGCCUGGCUCACUGCUAGCCAUUGCACACAGCAGCACACCCAGCCACAGCCCAGUCUCUCAGGCUGCUUUUCCCUACACUGUCCCUCCCAUCACUGGGACUCCAGCCUGCCCACAUGCCCAUCCACACUGUGCACAGAUUCUCAGCAAGGAAACAGCUAAAGAGAGUUYGGAAAGCAGACAGGACGUGCUGCAACCUCCAGGCACGGGGCAUGGCCCGCCAAGCACUAACAAGUCCUCUUUGUCCC